UGGGGAAUAUUGGACAAUGGGCGAAAGCCUGAUCCAGCCAUGCCGCGUGUGUGAAGAAGGCCUUUUGGUUGUAAAGCACUUUAAGCGAGGAGGAGGCUACUUGGAUUAAUACUCUAGGAUAGUGGACGUUACUCGCAGAAUAAGCACCGGCUAACUCUGUGCCAGCAGCCGCGGUAAUACAGAGGGUGCGAGCGUUAAUCGGAUUUACUGGGCGUAAAGCGUGCGUAGGCGGCUUUUUAAGUCGGAUGUGAAAUCCCUGAGCUUAACUUAGGAAUUGCAUUCGAUACUGGGAAGCUAGAGUAUGGGAGAGGAUGGUAGAAUUCCAGGUGUAGCGGUGAAAUGCGUAGAGAUCUGGAGGGAUACCGAUGGCGAAGGCAGCCAUCUGGCCUAAUACUGACGCUGAGGUACGAAAGCAUGGGGAGCAAACAGG
Molecule: ribosomal RNA, 430 nt
Filed under: bacterium
Lineage: Bacteria
Description: partial 16S ribosomal RNA
Rfam family: Bacterial small subunit ribosomal RNA
Source: RNAcentral